UACGGGGGGGGCAAGCGUUGUUCGGAAUUACUGGGCGUAAAGGGCUCGUAGGCGGCCAACUAAGUCAGACGUGAAAUCCCUCGGCUUAACCGGGGAACUGCGUCUGAUACUGGAUGGCUAGAGUUUGGGAGGGGGAUGCGGAAUUCCAGGUGUAGCGGUGAAAUGCGUAGAUAUCUGGAGGAACACCGGUGGCGAAGGCGGCAUCCUGGACCAACACUGACGCUGAGGAGCGAAAGCCAGGGGAGCAAACGGG
This 253-nucleotide ribosomal RNA is filed under the name uncultured bacterium. RNAcentral describes it as "partial 16S ribosomal RNA". It matches the Rfam family "Bacterial small subunit ribosomal RNA", at positions 524 to 776 of the family's 1533-position model. The record is from RNAcentral.